GAUGAACGCUGGCGGCGUGCCUAAUACAUGCAAGUCGAGCGAACAGACGAGGAGCUUGCUCCUCUUCCGUUAGCGGCGGACGGGUGAGUAACACGUGGAUAACCUACCUAUAAGACUGGGAUAACUUCGGGAAACCGGAGCUAAUACCGGAUAAUAUAUUGAACCGCAUGGUUCAAUAGUGAAAGACGGUUUUGCUGUCACUUAUAGAUGUAUCCGCGCCGCAUUAGCUAGUUGGUAAGGUAACGGCUUACCAAGGCAACGAUGCGUAGCCGACCUGAGAGGGUGAUCGGCCACACUGGAACUGAGACACGGUCCAGACUCCUACGGGAGGCAGCAGUAGGGAAUCUUCCGCAAAGGGCGAAAGCCUGACGGAGCAACGCCGCGUGAGUGAUGAAGGUCUUCGGAUCGUAAAACUCUGUUAUUAGGGAAGAACAAAUGUGUAAGUAACUAUGCACGUCUUGACGGUACCUAAUCAGAAAGCCACGGCUAACUACGUG
This 497-nucleotide ribosomal RNA is filed under the name uncultured bacterium. RNAcentral's name for it is "partial 16S ribosomal RNA". It matches the Rfam family "Bacterial small subunit ribosomal RNA", at positions 28 to 507 of the family's 1533-position model. The record is from RNAcentral.